RNAcentral lists this ribosomal RNA (468 nucleotides) under uncultured bacterium. Its description in RNAcentral is "partial 16S ribosomal RNA". It matches the Rfam family "Bacterial small subunit ribosomal RNA", at positions 28 to 507 of the family's 1533-position model. The record is from RNAcentral.
GACGAACGCUGGCGGCGUGCUUAACACAUGCAAGUCGAACGGAAAGGACCUGCUUUUGUGGGGUGCUCGAGUGGCGAACGGGUGAGUAACACGUGAGUAACCUGCCCUUGACUUUGGGAUAACUUCAGGAAACUGGGGCUAAUACCGGAUAGGAGCUCCUGCUGCAUGGUGGGGGUUGGAAAGUUUCGGCGGUUGGGGAUGGACUCGCGGCUUAUCAGCUUGUUGGUGGGGUAGUGGCUUACCAAGGCUUUGACGGGUAGCCGGCCUGAGAGGGUGACCGGCCACAUUGGGACUGAGAUACGGCCCAGACUCCUACGGGAGGCAGCAGUGGGGAAUAUUGCACAAUGGGCGGAAGCCUGAUGCAGCAACGCCGUGUGCGGGAUGACGGCCUUCGGGUUGUAAACCGCUUUCGCCUGUGACGAAGCGUGAGUGACGGUAAUGGGUAAAGAAGCACCGGCUAACUACGUG